This 495-nucleotide ribosomal RNA is filed under the name uncultured bacterium. Its description in RNAcentral is "partial 16S ribosomal RNA". It matches the Rfam family "Bacterial small subunit ribosomal RNA", at positions 28 to 507 of the family's 1533-position model. The record is from RNAcentral.
GACGAACGCUGGCGGCGUGCCUAAUACAUGCAAGUAGAACGCUGAAGGAGGAGCUUGCUUCUCUGGAUGAGUUGCGAACGGGUGAGUAACGCGUAGGUAACCUGCCUGGUAGCGGGGGAUAACUAUUGGAAACGAUAGCUAAUACCGCAUAAUAGUAGAUGUUGCAUGACAUUUGCUUCAAAGGUGCAAUUGCAUCACUACCAGAUGGACCUGCGUUGUAUUAGCUAGUUGGUGGGGUAACGGCUCACCAAGGCGACGAUACAUAGCCGACCUGAGAGGGUGAUCGGCCACACUGGGAAUGAGACACGGCCCAGACUCCUACGGGAGGCAGCAGUAGGGAAUCUUCGGCAAUGGACGGAAGGCUGACCGAGCAACGCCGCGUGAGGGAAGAAGGUUUUCGGAUCGUAAAGCUCUGUUGUAAGAGAAGAAAGAGUGUGAGAGUGGAAAGUUCACACUGUGACGGUAUCUUACCAGAAAGGGACGGCUAACUACGUG